GCGCUGCUUACACAUGCAGUCGAACGAUGAAAGCAGGAGCUUGCUUUUGCUGGAUUAGUGGCGAACGGGUGAGUAGCACGUGAGUAACCUGCCCUUGACUCUGGGAUAAGCGUUGGAAACGACGUCUAAUACCGGAUACGAGCUAGGACCGCAUGGUCACUAGUUGGAAAGAAUUUCGGUCAAGGAUGGACUCGCGGCCUAUCAGCUAGUUGGUGAGGUAAUGGCUCACCAAGGCGACGACGGGUAGCCGGCCUGAGAGGGUGACCGGCCACACUGGGACUGAGACACGGCCCAGACUCCUACGGGAGGCAGCAGUGGGGAAUAUUGCACAAUGGGCGCAAGCCUGAUGCAGCAACGCCGCGUGAGGGAUGACGGCCUUCGGGUUGUAAACCUCUUUUAGCAGGGAAGAAGCGAAAGUGACGGUACCUGCAGAAAAAGCACCGGCUAACUACGUGCCAGCAGCCGCGGUAAUACGUAGGGUGCAAGCGUUGUCCGGAAUUAUUGGGCGUAAAGAGCUCGUAGGCGGUUUGUCACGUCUGCUGUGAAAAUCCAAGGCUCAACCUUGGACUUGCAGUGGGUACGGGCAGGCUAGAGUGCGGUAGGGGAGAUGGGAAUUCCUGGUGUAGCGGUGGAAUGCGCAGAUAUCAGGAGGAACACCAAUGGCGAAGGCACAUCUCUGGGCCGUAACUGACGCUGAGGAGCGAAAGCGUGGGGAGCGAACAGGAUUAGAUACCCUGGUAGUCCACGCCGUAAACGGUGGGUGCUAGCUGUGGGCCACAUUCC
This 783-nucleotide ribosomal RNA is filed under the name uncultured bacterium. Its description in RNAcentral is "bacterial SSU rRNA". It matches the Rfam family "Bacterial small subunit ribosomal RNA", at positions 42 to 835 of the family's 1533-position model. The record is from RNAcentral.